GCUGAAGAUCAGCCUGAAUGUACCUGAUCUUGCCUGCUUUCAGAAGUUAAGCAGAGCUUAGCUUGGUUGGUAUUUGUAUGGGAGACCACCUAGGGAAAACAGGGAUCUCUGGGC
This 114-nucleotide ribosomal RNA is filed under the name Pogona vitticeps (central bearded dragon). The record is from RNAcentral. Lineage: Eukaryota; Metazoa; Chordata; Lepidosauria; Squamata; Agamidae.